Molecule: ribosomal RNA, 305 nt
Filed under: uncultured bacterium
Lineage: Bacteria
Description: partial 16S ribosomal RNA
Rfam family: Bacterial small subunit ribosomal RNA
Source: RNAcentral
ACAGCAGCCGCCGCGGUAAUACGUAGGUCCCGAGCGUUGUCCGGAUUUAUUGGGCGUAAAGCGAGCGCAGGCGGUUAGAUAAGUCUGAAGUUAAAGGCUGUGGCUUAACCAUAGUACGCUUUGGAAACUGUUUAACUUGAGUGCAAGAGGGGAGAGUGGAAUUCCAUGUGUAGCGGUGAAAUGCGUAGAUAUAUGGAGGAACACCGGUGGCGAAAGCGGCUCUCUGGCUUGUAACUGACGCUGAGGCUCGAAAGCGUGGGGAGCAAAUGGGAUUAGAGACCCCUGUAGUCCCUGUCUCUUAUACA